ACUGGGAAUUCCCCUAGUAACGGCGAGCGAACGGGGAAGAGUCCAGCGCCGAAGUUCGUUCUCCUCCGGGGGCUCGAACAAUGUGGCGUUCGGGAGGGAGCUUUCCCGGGACGGUCGUAGCAGCAAGUCCCCCUGACAGGGGCUCUUACCCGGAGCGGGUGCGAGGCCCGUGGUUGCUACGUCCCCCCGGGACGCGACUUCCCAGGAGUCGGGUUGCUUGGGAGUGCAGCCCCAAGUCGGUGGUAAACUCCACCCAAGACUAAAUACGGCCGCGAGACCGAUAGCAAACAAGUACCGUGAGGGAAAGUUGCAAAGAACUUUGAAGAGAGAGUUCAAGAGUACGUGAAACUGCUCARAGGCAAACGGGUGGGCCCUCGAAAUCCUCUUGCGGAGAGAUUCAGUCCGGAGCGGCCGGGGCGGACGCGGGUAACGGACCCUCGGAAAGGACGGGUCCCGCGACGCAGUCCCGGUCGUGCCGGACGCACUUCUCCCCGCAUUCGGGACGCCGCAACGGAUCGGGUAGCUGCGAGAGUCGGCCUUGGGGCGGUUCCAGGCAGGUGGCCGGGCGUCGGGCUUCGUGCCCCCCGCCCGGUUAUUCACGGGACCGUUCGUGGCGCGACACCCGAUCGAGGUCCAAGUUCCCCUUACGGGGAACCCUCCGUCUCCGUCUUCGUGCGCGGUGCCCGGGCCAGUGAGCGCCGCCGACGUCGAACCACUCUCCGCAGUGGCCGGCGCGGCGGUACGCCGCCGUUGGGCUCGGGUCGACCGCCGGAGACUUCCGGAACGGUUAGCGGCGAGUAGGUCGGUCACCCACCCGACCCGUCUUGAAACACGGACCAAGGAGUCUAACAUGUGCGCGAGUCGCAGGGUCUUGUACAGGCCCUCGGGCGCAAUGAAAGUGAAGGUACCCCUCGCGGGACCGAGUUGGGACUCCCGUCCCGAAAAGGGCGGGAAGCACCAACGGCCCGUCCCGUCCGACUCGUCGGUGGGGCGGAGUCCGAGCGCACCCGUUAGGACCCGAAAGAUGAUGAACUAUGCCUGGGCAGAACGAAGCCAGAGGAAACUCUGGUGGAGGUUCGUAGCGGUUCUGACGUGCAAAUCGAUCGUCAGACCUUGGUAUAGGGGCGAAAGACUAAUCGAAUCAUAGAUCAUC
This 1153-nucleotide ribosomal RNA is filed under the name Mesabolivar brasiliensis. RNAcentral describes it as "eukaryotic LSU rRNA". It matches the Rfam family "Eukaryotic large subunit ribosomal RNA", at positions 68 to 951 of the family's 3401-position model. Lineage: Eukaryota; Metazoa; Arthropoda; Arachnida; Araneae; Pholcidae. The record is from RNAcentral.